AACGCAAAUUGCACCUCUUGGUAUUCCGAGAGGUAUGCCUGUUUGAGAAUCAGAAACACCUCACUACUUGUAGUGGAUGUGAGUCUCACUGAGUGUGACUUGAAAUGGAUGCGGCGCGACUGUGCUCCUGGACGGGUUGUUCAACUCACGGAAGGGUGUGCAGACGAGCUGGACCAGUCUUUGUCUGGCAGUUAGCUGGACAAGGACUCACCUAUGAUCUCAAAUCAAGCAAGACUACCCGCUGAACUUAA
This 251-nucleotide unclassified non-coding RNA is filed under the name uncultured fungus. Its description in RNAcentral is "partial contains 5.8S ribosomal RNA, internal transcribed spacer 2, and large subunit ribosomal RNA". The record is from RNAcentral. Lineage: Eukaryota; Fungi.